Ictalurus punctatus (channel catfish) is the source of this 3373-nucleotide long non-coding RNA. RefSeq lists it as uncharacterized. The transcript has 4 exons. The record is from RefSeq and is a predicted model, not a curated record. NCBI's taxonomy places the organism in Eukaryota, Metazoa, Chordata, Actinopteri, Siluriformes, Ictaluridae.
CAAGGUCCUGCCAUGACCAUCCCAGUCCCCUGACUUGAAUCCCAUAGAAAACCUGUGGGGUGAACUGAAGAGAGUACGCCAGCGUGGACCUCGAAAUUUGAAGUAUCUGGAGAGAUUCUGUAUGGAGGAAUGGUCUCAGAUCCCUUGCCAUGUAUUCUCCAACUUCAUCAGGCGUUAUAGGAGAAGACAUGGCAAAGUGAGGUAGCACAAAGUAUUGACUAAAAGGAUGGCAACAAUUUAUUACCUACUUCAAUGAUGUACGCACCCUGGAGGUGGAUUGAGGAGAGGUAGACGGAGCGCGGAUAAAGCAAUAAAGACAAAUUUUCACAGCCUUCUUUGCUCAUAUUUACCAAGGGUGCCAAUAUUAGUGGAAGGCACUGUAAUAAUUAACCAAAGCGGGGCACCAAAUAUGAGUGAAUCUGUUGCCUGCACAUUAUUUAAUAUGUGACAGCAAUCUCUGGGAUAUAAUCAUUGAAUUAGAGACGGUUUCCCAGGACCUACUCACCAGCAAAUCUUCACAUACAGACUUCACCAGCUCAACCAAAAGUGACCAACUUGUAUUGGCCGAGGACUUUUGAACCCGUAACAAAGCCCCGAGAGACACUUGGCCGAAGUAUCUAGUAUUCAGUGCAGGCACAGAAAGUUUCAUAUUGGACACACAGCAAGACUCAAACUGAAAGCAAUUUCUGACAACUGCUUUAAGAAUGCAGGUAAGCAUGUGAGUUAACUGAAUCUGGACACGCAGCACACAUGAAAAAAAUCUACACGUUCUAUGUCUCUGUGAGUCUGGAGAAAUUGUUACAGCUUAACUAUACUGAUGUUAAACCAUAAUUAAAGUAACUGCAGUUUCAUGACAAAUUAUUUGGGUCUGAAUGAUUACAGUACUGUCUAAGAUAUUAAAAGUGGUGUCUGAGGAGGACACACAAUGCUGCUUUUCCAUUGAAAUUGAGCAAUGACUUGCAUAUUACAGGAUUAAUAACAUUUUUCAAUUAAAUCACUACCCAUUGUGACAGAAAUAAAUGCUGUGAGCAUUCAUGGCCUAUUUUGAAUCUCAACUACACCAUGCGUUCUUUACGGUAAGUACCACAACUCCCUAUAUGCAGAGUACACAGUUUGCGCAGGGCACCAACUCCCGGGAGCUGGGGGGGUUGACCAUGUCUUUCAUUCUAUAUUAAGGUUAACAUAAACGUAAUUCACACAAAUAUAAAUAUAAUAUACAUAAACAUAAAUAUUUAUAUUUUUUAAUGCCUUUUUCGGCAUCCGCCCCGCCCCCACCUCAUGUUUGCGCUUGUCUGACUGCAAAAGAUCAUCAUCAUAAUUGAUGGACAACUAUGCCCGUGAAAAGACAUCGGCUGUCUGGUGCUGAGAAAAGAAAAAGAACAAAAAGCCGAAGAUGAAUCCCGUGCCUCACUUCCAGGUAUGUUCACAAAACUGUGAAACGUUAUAUUUGUGUCUUUUGAAGUUAAUGGGUGAGAUUAAGAGAUUAAUUAAACAUGUUUAACGCUGUUAAUCAUUUCACCAGAACCAAGGCAUCUGAUUAUUCGCUCUGAGUUUGCACAUUUUGAUGUCCACAUGUUCUUGUUCAAGAAAUUACAGUGGCUGUAGUAUUUCUAUCACAAAGAAGUGGCCAAAUAUUAAAGAUUAUGUGGACAUUUGAAUGAAAUGUUUGGCCAAUAUUAAACAAGGAUUUGAGCUGUAAAGCGUAACAAAAACAAUCACCGGGACGUUGUCGCCCUCUGCAGCCAAGAUCAAGUUGAGAGAGAGAGAGGACUUCUGGCCAGCAGUGCAUACCAGAAACAAACAGCCCAAGGCCAUUGGUGCAAUCCCCCACUCCGGCUUCCCUCACUCCCUUUUCCAAGGCGGAAAAAGGAUAAGGGAGAGGCAACGAGGGAAACCAUGCCCUGAAGAGGAGGACUGGGAACCAGGACCAGAGCGCUUCCAGGCCUAAUGAGAAAGGUUUAUAUGUUGCAAAAAAAAAAAAUGAGGAGAUCUAAGAUUUCUGCCUACAGUUAUGCCAUGUUUCAUGCCAUUCCGCUCAGCACUAUCUGUGCAUGAAUUCAGUGUUAAUCAGAAAGGUAGCAGCAGCUAUGCUCUGAUGUGUAUGCUCUGAUACUUUUCUGAAUUAGAGAAUGCCGGGCGACUGCAGCACUGAAACCUAAAGCAGUCACAAAAAAGCAUCUGGAGCAAAUUGUUUCAUCAACUUCAUUCAGCCGCUUCAUUCAGUGGCUGGAAGUGCAUUUUAUUUCCCAUUUUACUGCAGAUUAGAUAAAAUGACCUAAAUCACAAUGAUGCACUUUAUAAUACUAGCUCAACGACAGUUAUUACAGAAUACACAGUGCGCACAGUAUGGCCUCUGAAGUUGAUGUACAAUUGACAAAACUAUGAUUACGUCUAAAAUGUGUUUCUUGUACUGGACAAUAAGUCACAGAAAGAGCAACAGCCACAAUCUUUAAAAGUUUCAUUUUUAAAAAUGUAUAUGCGAGCAAUGAAAUAAAAGAAGACAUGCCUCCUGGAACAUUUCCAUUGUGUUAUUUCCUUAAUUAACUUUGUUAUAAGUACACCGGAAAAGAAACCAACCCCCUCCUAAUUUUAGUUUUCUGGUCGGGUAAAACAUCAGCUGUUGUUGAACUGAAGGAUAUUCAUCAUUACAUUACAGUAAGGUGUGCUACACUACCCAUAAAACCAGAGGAACCUAAAGCAGUGGACCUUCGGGCUACUUCAGAUCAGACACCCCUAUGACUGCAAUAACUUAACAUCCAAGGCAAAAGUUUUUUUUGUUUGUUUGUUUUGUUUUUUAAAUGUUCACACAUUUACACAGCAACAUGGCCAGCUGAAAUCCAGGAAUAAUGCAUGAAUAAUGCAGCAAACACAGCAUUUUUAAGACUUUACAUAUUUGCUCUAUGGUUUGCUCGCCUGUCUACAUUUCACUGCGGGGUUGUCUAUUAAAUCCUGUAAUCAAAUGCACUAAAUUUAAAACUAAUAACAGCCCACGUGAUGUAUGCAUUAUGUAUAAUGCAGUCAGCAAUCAUUUGGUCUUAUUUACUACCAUGUACCCUAAUGUAUGAAUAAUUAAGCUUUUCAAGAGCAUGCAUAAAAAUGAUGCAGCGGUUAUGUAGAGUAAAGCACAUCUGGAGAAAUGCACCAGAUGAUUAGAGGUUGAAGUGCCAAAUCUUGUCUUCCUGGUACACACAUUAUUUUCGUUUGACUUUAUAUUUUAUCAAAUGGCUCAGAUGGCAACAUCCAGGCAAUAUAUUAGACUCUUAAGAUAAGAGCUCUAUUUGAAUCAAUCCAUUUGCAGAUACUAACUGAUAUUUGUGCAAAGAUGAAAAUAAUAAUAUAUAUAUAUAUUUUUAAAAACCCUAAUAGUGCAUGG